GGGGAGGCUCUAUGGCUCAGUGGUAGAGCAUCUGCCUUGCAUGCAGAAAGUCCCAGGUUCAAUUCCUGGCUUCUCCA
Molecule: non-coding RNA, 77 nt
Organism: Eublepharis macularius
Lineage: Eukaryota; Metazoa; Chordata; Lepidosauria; Squamata; Eublepharidae
Source: the annotation of a RefSeq genome assembly